Molecule: long non-coding RNA, 174 nt
Organism: Amblyraja radiata (thorny skate)
Lineage: Eukaryota; Metazoa; Chordata; Chondrichthyes; Rajiformes; Rajidae
Exons: 3
Source: RefSeq, a predicted model, not a curated record
AUGGACGGGAAAGGAAUGGAGGGUUAUGGUCUGAGUGCAGGUAGACGGGACUAGGCGGGAGUAAGUGUUCGGCACGGACUAGAAGGGCCGAGAUGGCCUGUUUCCGUGCCGUAAUUGUUAUAUGCUUAUAUGAGGAAAAACAUUUUUCACACAGAGAGUGGUGAAUCUCUGGAA